This is a long non-coding RNA of Triticum dicoccoides, 1833 nucleotides long. RefSeq lists it as uncharacterized. Lineage: Eukaryota; Viridiplantae; Streptophyta; Magnoliopsida; Poales; Poaceae. The record is from RefSeq and is a predicted model, not a curated record. The transcript is spliced from 3 exons.
CCUCCAGCACGCUGCCACCCUCGCCACACCGCCGCGCACCGCCUACCCCACCCACGCGGCCUUCCACUGCGGAUGACACUCGACGCUGCGUUCGUUGCCUGCUCCCCCAUCCCUGCUACCACGGCGCCGCUUGGACUCCAUCCCACUGCUUCCACCUCGGCAAUGGUUCCCCCAACCCCGCCGGCUUCGCCAUCCUGACGCACUCCACCACCCGUUAGACCAGUCCGCCUGGCUCCCGUGGCGACGGCGCACUCCACCACCCGUUGGACCAGUCCGCCUGGCUCCUGCGGUGAACAUCGCUGCAACCCCGCUGUCGCUUCCCACCACAGCCGCUGUCCUACUCCACCUGCGCGCCACUUCCCGACUUCCCCUUGACGCAGCGCGUGCUCUCCAGCCUCCGGCUAGCUGUGACGCAAGGUGAGCUUGGUUGCUUAACAAAGUGUGUGCAGGCCAUAUCGCUUCAGAGGAUUGGGAGUCAAAAUCUUGCAGCUACAGGCUGUAGCUCUUCGGAUGAGAUGGGAGUGGAUGAGAAGAUCAGAUCCUAAUAUACCAUGGCAAGGAUUACUGGAAGCGGUGGAUGAUUUUGUACGUCAGCUCUUUAAUAGUUUGGUCAUAUUGAGUGAUGUGGGAGAUGGGCGUACAACUUUUUUGGACUAACAAAUGGAUGGAAGGCUUUGAUGUUAGUGAUUUUGCGCCAUCCUUACUACUGAAGAUCAGUCCGCGCAUCCUGAAUAAGUGCACAGUUUGGGAAGCUCUCCAUAACCAUCGAUGGUUGCAAGAUAUUGCUAGCAUGGCGAGGUCCAUCCGAACGAAUAGGUUCAGCUGGGCACCUUAUGGACAGUUCUCAACUAUGUCCAACUUGACAAUGCUAGACCGGAUGUGUUUCAAUGUUCCGGUGGCACGCAUUGUGUUGGUCGUAUUCGUGUCCUUCUGUGCUGGAUACCUCACUCAGCUUUGCCAAUCUAGCCUGAGUUCCUCUGCAAGGCAAUGCUUACUAAGGUCAUUGUGUGAAAUUUAUAGGAGUUAUUUGAAGAAUGGACUCACUAUGCAGCUAGAUGUUCCAAUUGGAUGCCCUUGCAAGAAGUAUUGCUGUGGUGGGUACAGCGCCACGGCCCCUCCCGCAUCAACACGCUGGUCCUCCAUAUGCAAAGGCCUAUGCAAAACUUAUAUCAUUUUUUGAACAAAGAAUGGACUCAUAUGCUAAUGUUGAUGCCCAAGUUUCCUUUGUAAGUAGUUCAAGAAUAAUAUAACACCAAUGUGGGAGGAGAAAUUGCUAUUGUUAUUCUGGUGAAAGCUGCAUUGGAGAAGAGUACGUGCAAAAGCAAUCAUGAUGCACGGUAAGUCCUCCUGCUGAUUUCUGAACAAAAAGAGUCAUGAUGCCCUCUUCGCUGCUGAUAUUCUACAAUUACUGGAGUUGCAAUUCUUGGCAUGAUCAUAUGUGUACACAAUGUGAAUAUACACGAGGUGGCAUAGCAGGAGUAGAAAAAGUGCAGCUCAAAGUGAGUGCACCUGUAUAAUUUCCUAGAAUUAUUUUCUUGGCAGAAGUUACUAUCUUCUCAUUAUGUAAUAGGAUUGUAAAUUUUGAGAAGUAGAAAUUCAAAAUUAAUACCAGUGCUAUAACUUAGGAGAGGCUCAUGUGGAUCAACUGUUUUUCUCAGCCCAUGGGAGAUUGUCGGUAAGAUCAAGCCAUACCGCCCCCUUUGCACCUUGCUAUAUUGCAAGUCUUGAAAAGCCUUCUAGGUACCUGUAGAAGCAUUGUGAAGGAGGGACAAAAGUUUUCUGUUCCUUUUAUUUGGAGUAUAAACUUUGAAUGAGAACAACUUGGUCACAACA